UCCGUAGGGUGCAAGCGUUAAUCGGAAUUACUGGGCGUAAAGCGAGCGCAGGCGGUCGUGUAAGACAGAUGUGAAAUCCCCGGGCUCAACCUGGGAACUGCAUUUGUGACUGCACGGCUAGAGUGCGUCAGAGGGGGGUGGAACUCCACGUGUAGCAGUGAAAUGCGUAGAGAUGUGGAAGAACACCGAUGGCGAAGGCAGCCCCCUGGGAUGACACUGACGCUCAUGCUCGAAAGCGUGGGGAGCAAACAGG
This 253-nucleotide ribosomal RNA is filed under the name uncultured bacterium. RNAcentral's name for it is "partial 16S ribosomal RNA". It matches the Rfam family "Bacterial small subunit ribosomal RNA", at positions 524 to 776 of the family's 1533-position model. The record is from RNAcentral.